RNAcentral lists this ribosomal RNA (406 nucleotides) under uncultured bacterium. RNAcentral describes it as "partial 16S ribosomal RNA". It matches the Rfam family "Bacterial small subunit ribosomal RNA", at positions 30 to 526 of the family's 1533-position model. The record is from RNAcentral.
AUUGAACGCUGGCGGCAGGCCUAACACAUGCAAGUCGAACGAGUGGCGGACGGGUGAGUAAUGCAUGGGAAUCUAGCUUAUGGAGGGGGAUAACUACGGGAAACGGUAGCUAAUACCGCGUACCAUAGGAUGAACCCAUGUGGGAUUAGGUAGUGGGUGGGGUAAAGGCUCACCAAGGCGACGAUCCGUAGCUGGUUUGAGAGGACGACCAGCCACACUGGGACUGAGACACGGCCCAGACUCCUACGGGAGGCAGCAGUGGGGAAUUGUGGACAAUGGGGGAAACCCUGAUCCAGCCAUCCCGCGUGUGCGAAGAAGGUCUUAGGAUUGUAAAGCACUUUAAGUUGGGAGGCGUUACCCACAGAAUAAGCACCGGCUAACUUCGUGCCAGCAGCCGCGGUAAUUC